ACCGAUAGCGGACUAGUACCGUGAGGGAAAGGYGAAAAGWACCCCGGGAGGGGAGUGAAAUAGWWCCUGAAACCGYGCGCUUACAAUCCGUCAAAGCCGGUGCAUGACUUGUCAUGGCUGGUGAUGGCGUGCCUUUUGAAGAAUGAGCCUGCGAGUUAGUGSUMUGUGGCGAGGUUAACCCGUGUGGGGYAGCCGUAGCGAAAGCGAGUCYGAAUAGGGCGAUUCAGUCGCAKGGUCUAGACCCGAAGCGAAGUGAUCUAUCCAUGGCCAGGUUGAAGCGACGGUAAGACGUCGUGGAGGACCGAACCCACUUMRGUUGAAAACKGAGGGGAUGAGYUGUGGRUAGGGGUGAAAGGCCAAUCAAACUUCGUGAUAGCUGGUUCUCYCCGAAAUGCAUUUAGGUGCAGCGUUGCGUGUUUCUURCCGGAGGUAGAGCUACUGGAUGGCCGAUGGGGCCCAAAAGSUUACUGACGUCAGCCAAACUCCGAAUGCCGGUAAGUGAGAGCGCAGCAGUGAGACKGUGGGGGAUAAGSUUCRUMGUCGAGAGGGAAACAACCCAGACYACCAACUAAGGUCCCUAAGCGYGUGCUAAGUGGGAAAGGAUGUGGAGUYGCRMAGACAACCAGGAGGUUGGCUUAGAAGCAGCCACCCUUGAAAGAGUGCGUAAUAGCUCACUGGUCAAGUGAUUCCGCGCCGACAAUGUAACGGGGCUCAAGCACRCCACCGAAGUUGUGGCAUUGACAUUAAUGGUAGGCCUUCGUGGUCCAGCCGUGUUGAUGGGUAGGAGAGCGUCGUGUGGCGAGUGAAGCGGCGGUGUGAACCAGCCGUGGACGCCACACGAGUGAGAAUGCAGGCAUGAGUAGCGAAAGACGKGUGAGAAACMCGUCCUCCGRAAGACCAAGGGUUCCAGGGUCAAGCUAAUCUUCCCUGGGUAAGUCGGGACCUAAGGCGAGGCCGACAGGCGUAGUCGAUGGACAACGGGUUGAUAUUCCCGUACCGGCGAAGAACCGCCCAAGMYAAUCCAGUAGUGCUAAGUAUCUGAAUCCCUUUGAUGGAUCCCUUC
This 1063-nucleotide non-coding RNA is filed under the name Sphingomonas sp. Leaf339. Its description in RNAcentral is "Bacterial large subunit ribosomal RNA". It matches the Rfam family "Bacterial large subunit ribosomal RNA", at positions 483 to 1516 of the family's 2925-position model. The record is from Rfam by way of RNAcentral. Lineage: Bacteria; Pseudomonadati; Pseudomonadota; Alphaproteobacteria; Sphingomonadales; Sphingomonadaceae.